This 261-nucleotide ribosomal RNA is filed under the name uncultured archaeon. Its description in RNAcentral is "partial 16S ribosomal RNA". It matches the Rfam family "Archaeal small subunit ribosomal RNA", at positions 722 to 982 of the family's 1478-position model. The record is from RNAcentral.
CACUGACAUUAGAUACCCGGGUAGUCCCAGCCGUAAACAAUGUGCGUUAGGUGUGUCGGUAACCACGCGUUACUGAUGCGCCGAAGAGAAAUCGUGAAACGCACCACCUGGGGAGUACGGUCGCAAGGCUGAAACUUAAAGGAAUUGGCGGGGAGCACCACAACAGGUGGAGCCUGCGGUUUAAUUGGAUUCAACGCCGGACAUCUCACCGGAUAAGACAGCUGAAUGAUUGUCAAUCUGAAGGUUUUACAUGACUAGCUG